CCGGCACGGGUGAGUAACACGUAUCCAACCUGCCGUCUACUCUUGGACAGCCUUCUGAAAGGAAGAUUAAUACAAGAUGGCAUCAUGAGUUCACAUGUUCACAUGAUUAAAGGUGUUCCGGUAGACGAUGGGGAUGCGUUCCAUUAGAUAGUAAGCGGGGUAACGGCCCACCUAGUCUUCGAUGGAUAGGGGUUCUGAGAGGAAGGUCCCCCACAUUGGAACUGAGACACGGUCCAA
Molecule: ribosomal RNA, 237 nt
Filed under: uncultured bacterium
Lineage: Bacteria
Description: partial 16S ribosomal RNA
Rfam family: Bacterial small subunit ribosomal RNA
Source: RNAcentral